This 376-nucleotide ribosomal RNA is filed under the name uncultured bacterium. RNAcentral's name for it is "bacterial SSU rRNA". It matches the Rfam family "Bacterial small subunit ribosomal RNA", at positions 524 to 898 of the family's 1533-position model. The record is from RNAcentral.
UACGGGGGGAGCAAGCGUUGUUCGGAUUUACUGGGCGUAAAGGGCGCGUAGGCGGCGUGGUAAGUCACUUGUGAAAUCUCCGGGCUUAACUCGGAACGGUCAAGUGAUACUGCUGCGCUAGAGUGCGGAAGGGGCAACUGGAAUUCUUGGUGUAGCGGUGAAAUGCGUAGAUAUCAAGAGGAACACCUGCGGCGAAGGCGGGUUGUUGGGCCGACACUGACGCUGAGGCGCGAAAGCUAGGGGAGCGAACGGGAUUAGAUACCCCGGUAGUCCUAGCCUUAAACGAUGGAUGCUUGGUGUCUGGAGUAUUUAGUCUCCGGGUGCCGUCGCUAACGCUUUUAGCAUCCCGCCUGGGGAGUACGGUCGCAAGACUGAA